RNAcentral lists this ribosomal RNA (405 nucleotides) under uncultured bacterium. Its description in RNAcentral is "partial 16S ribosomal RNA". It matches the Rfam family "Bacterial small subunit ribosomal RNA", at positions 30 to 526 of the family's 1533-position model. The record is from RNAcentral.
AUUGAACGCUGGCGGCAGGCCUAACACAUGCAAGUCGAACGAGUGGCGGACGGGUGAGUAAUGUCUGGGAAACUGCCCGAUGGAGGGGGGUAACUACUGGAAACGGUAGCUAAUACCGCAUACCAUCGGAUGUGCCCAGAUGGGAUUAGCUAGUAGGUGGGGUAACGGCUCACCUAGGCGACGAUCCCUAGCUGGUCUGAGAGGAUGACGAUCACAACUGGAAGUGAGAAACGAUCCAGACUCCUGCGAGAGGCAGCAGUGGGGAAUAUUGCACAAUGGGCGCAAGCCUUAUGCAGCCAUGCCGCGUGUAUGAAGAAGGCCUUCGGGUUGUAAAGUACUUUCAGCGAGGAGGCUUUACUCGCAGGAGAAGCACCGCCUAACUCCGAGCCAGCAGCCGAGGUAUAC